CACCAUGAACAUUAGCAAAAAAUACACCAAAACAAAAUCUUUAUUAAUCAAAACAAUAAGCCCAUAAAGGUAAGAUCUUGAAUUCAAUUGACUUAAUACUCAGGAUGAUCAACUAAUUCAGAGAAAUCAAAAUUCAAGAUUCUAAAUAAUUGCAUUCCCGUUGAACCACCAAAAUAAUAAUAAUAAUAAUAAUGAUGAUGAUGAUAAUGAAAUCUGAAACAAAGCCAUGUCCAGUUGAGAAGUGAGGCUUAAGUGCAAAACCCAAAAUCAAGAACUCAAGAAAAAAUAAAAAUAGAUGCCCAAUAAUUUUUAGGGAAAAUAACGAAAAGAAAAGGUAGCUCACGGGGAUCUUGUGAAGAGGGACCUGAGACUUGAAGUAGAUGUAAUCACCGGGCGCCGAAAAGACGCCUUUCAUUGCUGAUUUUGACACUGUCUACACCAUAAUAAACAGAAACAGAUGUCUAUGUAUAACUUCUUGGCAGUAAUUGUUGUAGCAAUUUUCAGAAUGUUGAAAUUUUAAUUUCGAUGACCUGUUUAAAAAAUUUAAGAAUGUGUAUUUGAGCUGUGAUUAAUGAGAUUUGACGAGGUGGAGAAUGAAGAGGAACAACGCGGAUGGUGGGACCUAAUCAUGUUUAUAUCAGUCA
Molecule: long non-coding RNA, 644 nt
Filed under: Olea europaea (common olive)
Lineage: Eukaryota; Viridiplantae; Streptophyta; Magnoliopsida; Lamiales; Oleaceae
Description: long non-coding RNA (OEUR_LNC010683)
Source: RNAcentral